This 253-nucleotide ribosomal RNA is filed under the name uncultured bacterium. Its description in RNAcentral is "partial 16S ribosomal RNA". It matches the Rfam family "Bacterial small subunit ribosomal RNA", at positions 524 to 776 of the family's 1533-position model. The record is from RNAcentral.
UACGGGGGGGGCAAGCGUUGUUCGGAAUUACUGGGCGUAAAGGGCUCGUAGGUGGCCAACUAAGUCAGAGGUGAAAUCCCUCAGCUUAACUGGGGAACUGCGUCUGAUACUGGAUGGCUUGAGUUUGGGAGAGGGAUGCGGAAUUCCAGGUGUAGCGGUGAAAUGCGUAGAUAUCUGGAGGAACACCGGUGGCGAAGGCGGCAUCCUGGACCAACACUGACACUGAGGAGCGAAAGCCAGGGGAGCAAACGGG